Molecule: small RNA, 28 nt
Filed under: Bombyx mori (domestic silkworm)
Lineage: Eukaryota; Metazoa; Arthropoda; Insecta; Lepidoptera; Bombycidae
Description: ovarian small RNA-37207
Source: RNAcentral
UUCCGCGCUUCCCGCCGGCAGCGGGGGG